CAGUCGCCACGGUAAUACGUAGGGUGCAAGCGUUAAUCGGAAUUACUGGGCGUAAAGCGUGCGCAGGCGGUUAUAUAAGACAGAUGUGAAAUCCCCGGGCUCAACCUGGGAACUGCAUUUGUGACUGUAUAGCUAGAGUACGGCAGAGGGUGAUGGAAUUCCGCGUGUAGCAGUGAAAUGCGUAGAUAUGCGGAGGAACACCGAUGGCGAAGGCAAUCCCCUGGGCCUGUACUGACGCUCAUGCACGAAAGCGUGGGGAGCAAACAGGAUUAGAUACCCGGGUAGUCCCUGUCUCUUAUAC
RNAcentral lists this ribosomal RNA (301 nucleotides) under uncultured bacterium. RNAcentral describes it as "partial 16S ribosomal RNA". It matches the Rfam family "Bacterial small subunit ribosomal RNA", at positions 509 to 807 of the family's 1533-position model. The record is from RNAcentral.